RNAcentral lists this ribosomal RNA (618 nucleotides) under Rhodanobacter sp. Ri3Pt_4373. Its description in RNAcentral is "bacterial SSU rRNA". It matches the Rfam family "Bacterial small subunit ribosomal RNA", at positions 395 to 1003 of the family's 1533-position model. Lineage: Bacteria; Pseudomonadati; Pseudomonadota; Gammaproteobacteria; Lysobacterales; Rhodanobacteraceae. The record is from RNAcentral.
UGCCGCGUGUGUGAAGAAGGCCUAUCGGGUUGUAAAGCACUUUUAUCAGGAACGAAAUACCACGGGUUAAUACCCUAUGGGGCUGACGGUACCUGAGGAAUAAGCACCGGCUAACUUCGUGCCAGCAGCCGCGGUAAUACGAAGGGUGCAAGCGUUAAUCGGAAUUACUGGGCGUAAAGGGUGCGUAGGCGGUUAGUUAAGUCUGUCGUGAAAUCCCCGGGCUCAACCUGGGAAUGGCGAUGGAUACUGGCUGGCUAGAGUGUGUCAGAGGAUGGUGGAAUUUCCGGUGUAGCGGUGAAAUGCGUAGAGAUCGGAAGGAACAUCAGUGGCGAAGGCGGCCAUCUGGGACAACACUGACGCUGAAGCACGAAAGCGUGGGGAGCAAACAGGAUUAGAUACCCUGGUAGUCCACGCCCUAAACGAUGCGAACUGGAUGUUGGUCUCAACUCGGAGAUCAGUGUCGAAGCUAACGCGUUAAGUUCGCCGCCUGGGGAGUACGGUCGCAAGACUGAAACUCAAAGGAAUUGACGGGGGCCCGCACAAGCGGUGGAGUAUGUGGUUUAAUUCGAUGCAACGCGAAGAACCUUACCUGGCCUUGACAUGUCCGGAAUCCUGCAG